RNAcentral lists this ribosomal RNA (482 nucleotides) under uncultured bacterium. RNAcentral describes it as "partial 16S ribosomal RNA". It matches the Rfam family "Bacterial small subunit ribosomal RNA", at positions 28 to 507 of the family's 1533-position model. The record is from RNAcentral.
GACGAACGCUGGCGGCGUGCUUAACACAUGCAAGUCGAACGCUGAAGCUCAGCUUGCUGGGUGGCUGCGUGGCGAACGGGUGAGUAACACGUGAGUAACCUGCCCUCUUCUUUGGGAUAACGCCCGUAAACGGGUGCUAAUACUUGCUAUUCACUGCUUCUCGCCUGGGGGUUGGUGGAAAGGUUUUUUCUGGUGGGGUGUGGGCUCGCGGCCUACCAGAUUUUUGGUGGGGUGUUGGCCUACCAAGGCUUUGACGGGUUGCCGGCCUGAGGGGGUGACCGGUCACGUUGGGAGUGGGGAACGGCCCAGACACCUGCGGGAGUCGGCAGUGGGGCAGAUUGCACAAAGGGCGAAAGCCUGAUGCGGCGACGGCGCGUAAGGGAUGGAGGCCUUAGGGUUGUAAACCUCUUUCGCUCAUGGGCAAGGCGCAGCAUGGGGUUGUAGUGAGGGUAGUGGGUAAAGAAGCGCCGGCUAACUACGUG